Molecule: long non-coding RNA, 365 nt
Filed under: Ananas comosus (pineapple)
Lineage: Eukaryota; Viridiplantae; Streptophyta; Magnoliopsida; Poales; Bromeliaceae
Description: long non-coding RNA (ACOM_LNC038519)
Source: RNAcentral
ACAUAAUCACAACUCAUCAAGGAAUAAACACCAGGGCUGCGUUUGGUUCAGGUAUAAGUAAGAACUGCUUGUUCCAGGGAUAGGUACAAGUUCAGGUAUAAACAGGAACUAGGCCAAUUUUGCGUUUGGAUGAAAAUUGAGUUGUUCCUAGAAAUAAGGUAUAUAGCGUUUGGAUGGUUAAAUUGGAACAAGAGGAAUAAAAGUUAUAAUUUCAAAUUAAAAUUAUAUUAUCUAAUUAAUUAACACCAAAAUAUUACUUAAAAACAAAUAAUAAAUAAAUUAUUAAUAAAUAAUUAUAAAUAAUAAUAAUUAUUAAUUAUUAAUUAUUAUUAUUAAUUAUUUAUAAUUAUUUAUAAGUAAUAAAU